RNAcentral lists this ribosomal RNA (328 nucleotides) under uncultured eukaryote. RNAcentral describes it as "partial 18S ribosomal RNA". It matches the Rfam family "Eukaryotic small subunit ribosomal RNA", at positions 1470 to 1796 of the family's 1831-position model. The record is from RNAcentral.
CCCUUAGAUGUCCUGGGCCGCACGCGCGUUACACUGAUGCAUUCAACGAGCUUAUAACCUUGGCCGAGAGGCCUGGGCAAUCUUGUUAACGUGCAUCGUGAUAGGGAUAGAUUAUUGAAAUUAUUAAUCUUGAACGAGGAAUUCCUAGUAAACGCAGAUCAUCAAUCUGCAUUGAUUACGUCCCUGCCCUUUGUACACACCGCCCGUCGCACCUACCGAUUGGAUGGUCCGGUGAAGCCUCGGGAUUGUGGUUCUUGCCGCUUUAUUGUGGCGUGCCCGCGAGAACUUGUCUAAACCUUAUCAUCUAGAGGAAGGUGAAGUCGUAACA